AUAAAAUGGCUGCUAAGUGUGCACAAAGUGCAUUGCUGCAAAAGGCAAAGGACAAAAUCCAAAUAGAUUCAAGUCAGAUUUGAUGAAAAUUGCUAUGAAAAUUCUCUCUCGACAAAGAACAAUUUGCUAAACUAGCAGUACUGGAUGUUGUGCUAAGGUUGAAGUCAAAAUUGAAGAAUGUGAGUCAUGGAGAUAUCGGAGAUAUCGAUAAUAAUUAUAAAUGUAAGAUGUGUGUAUUGAUGGAGUUGGUACAAAAGGCAAAUUGUAUCUAUAGAUUCAAAAAUAAAAGUGC
Zingiber officinale is the source of this 292-nucleotide long non-coding RNA. RefSeq lists it as uncharacterized. The transcript has 3 exons. NCBI's taxonomy places the organism in Eukaryota, Viridiplantae, Streptophyta, Magnoliopsida, Zingiberales, Zingiberaceae. The record is from RefSeq and is a predicted model, not a curated record.